AUGCGACCGCCUGACGACCCGCGGCCGCGAGCGGCCGCUCCGGCCACCGCCUUCAAGGCCGGCGCCUCCGCCGCCAAGACCGGUGCCGAUGAGGUUGCUCUCGGUGCGGUCUCCGAACCAUCGCGGGGGUCUAAGGGGGCGGAUUUGUCCUCUCCCACUCGCGCGGCGGCGACGACAUCUGGGGGAAGGGUGGAUCAAUCGGCCACGGCAGGAGCAGAUCCCGGCGGCAAGUCGGACAGCGAGAUCGUGGGAAGACUGUCGAGGUGGAGGCAGUGGCAGGCACAAUUUGCAUAUGCGACGGCUCCGGAUGAUUGGAUCAUGGGGCGCCUCCAAUUCACUGCAUCCUCACGGUGGAUGGCUUUAUUGGAUUUGGAGAACAACGUGUUGGCCGGAGAUUACCUCCCGGACGGCGAUCAGAUUGAGAUAGGUCUUAGAUUUUCUUUGGAUGACUAUGACGUGGUUGUUGGUCAGUGUGUGCAGGUUGAUCAAAUCACGGCGGCUGGCCUGGUUGAUCUAACGAACACAACGACCACAAGUCGGGAUCGACCGGGAGGACACUUCUGGGUUCUAAUCGAGAGCGAUGAAGAAAAUGUGGGGGAGAUCGAGCAGGUCAUGUAG
Molecule: ribosomal RNA, 618 nt
Filed under: Triticum aestivum (bread wheat)
Lineage: Eukaryota; Viridiplantae; Streptophyta; Magnoliopsida; Poales; Poaceae
Description: partial small subunit ribosomal RNA
Source: RNAcentral